CAUAUAUUUAUCAAGAGUUUGGCUUGGCUGUAGUCAUGCUAACAUCAGUGAUCCUCAAGACUUUUGCCUAGCAUCAAGUGCCACUAAUAGAUCAAAGUCUUGGUCAGAUGGGGUUCAAACCACACAAGACUUCCUGGUCCUUGACUUUUUAGGAGGACACAAGGCGACAGCUCAAACCUUCAUGGCUUUUACCCAGGUUGUUUUUGAGGACUUGCUGCAUCUCAACACAUGUGCUCCUUGCCUUGCUGCACAUAGACACAUGUGCUCCUUGCCUUACUAGAUUCCAAUACACUGCUCCUCACUGUUAAGGAAGGCCAAAAAAACUUACCAGUCCAAUGCUGCUGCAAUGGAGC
RNAcentral lists this long non-coding RNA (353 nucleotides) under Selaginella moellendorffii. Its description in RNAcentral is "long non-coding RNA (SMOE_LNC000503)". The record is from RNAcentral. Lineage: Eukaryota; Viridiplantae; Streptophyta; Lycopodiopsida; Selaginellales; Selaginellaceae.